GCCCUAGUACGGCGAGUGAAAGCGGCAACAGCUCAAAUUUGAAAUCUGGCCCUAGCGGUCCGAGUUGUAAUUUGCAGAGGAUGCUUUUGGUGCGGUGCCUUCCGAGUUCCCUGGAACGGGACGCCAGAGAGGGUGAGAGCCCCGUACGGUUGGACACCUACCCUAUAUAUAGCUCCUUCGACGAGUCGAGUAGUUUGGGAAUGCUGCUCUAAAUGGGAGGUAAAUUUCUUCUAAAGCUAAAUACCGGCCAGAGACCGAUAGCGCACAAGUAGAGUGAUCGAAAGAUGAAAAGCACUUUGAAAAGAGGGUUAAAUAGCACGUGAAAUUGUUGAAAGGGAAGCGUUUGCGACCAGACCUUUUCCAGGCGGAUCAUCCGGUGUUCUCACCGGUGCACUUCGCCUGGUUUAGGCCAGCAUCGGUUUUCUUAGGGGGAUAAAGGCCUGGGGAACGUAGCUCUUUAGGGAGUGUUAUAGCCCCUCGCGUAAUACCCCUCGGGGGACCGAGGACCGCGCUCUGCAAGGAUGCUGGCGUAAUGGUCGUCAACGACCCGUCUUGAAACACGGACCAAGGAGUCGAACAUUUGUGCGAGUGUUUGGGUGUUAAACCCUCACGCGUAAUGAAAGUGAACGGAGGUGAGAGCCCUCACGGGUGCAUCAUCGACCGAUCCUGAUGUCUUCGGAUGGAUUUGAGUAAGAGCAUAACUGUUCGGACCCGAAAGAUGGUGAACUAUGCGUGGAUAGGGUGAAGCCAGAGGAAACUCUGGUGGAGGCUCGCAGCGGUUCUGACGUGCAAAUCGAUCGUC
Molecule: ribosomal RNA, 802 nt
Filed under: Annulohypoxylon thailandicum
Lineage: Eukaryota; Fungi; Ascomycota; Sordariomycetes; Xylariales; Hypoxylaceae
Description: eukaryotic LSU rRNA
Rfam family: Eukaryotic large subunit ribosomal RNA
Source: RNAcentral